UCCCGGGAGCGGAUUUGAAAUGGCGGCCGCUGUAAGGUUGUCUGUGCUGGCCGUGAGUCGUGUCCAAAGGCAUUUGUGCAUCUGGUCCUUCAGAGCCAGGUUUUCUGCACUGUUAACUGCAGGGGACCUCCCCAGGUGGUCAGAGUUGCCCAGGGUUUAGGGUGGACAUGAGAGUCUUGCUGGGGUCAGGAGGAAUGAGGGGCAGCUACAAGCCAGAUGUCCAUGAGUGGGAGAGAGGGCCAGCCUUCCUGUUCUAUUGUGUUUCCUAUCCUUCCCCCAAAGCCAAAGUCCAGGGCCGGUGGAUGGGAAAGCAUAGCAGGUCAGGCCCUUUCUCCCUCCCCCUCCUCUUCACACACCUACCUCCCCAUCCUUGUCCCUGUUAAAAGCACUGCAGGAAGAUAAGAUCACCCUCCAAAAUCUUGCUAUAAAAUGGUCUGUUUCCUCUGCUUGUUAUCAGGCGUGUCUGAUCAAAGAAAUGGUGCCGGGCCUGGUUAUCUAAUAACCAAAUAAACAUCAAGCUGCCCUCCUGGGCUGUUUGAAGUAGGGGCCAGGCCAGAGGAGGAUCCAACCUUCUCAGAUCCUGAAACUCCCUGGAGAGAAGUUGAAGGUCACAUGGCUGGUGUGCAGUGGAGCCUGGACAGGAACCUAGUCUGUGGUUGGAAGUCUGGCUCCUCAUUCUGAUCCUAACUGCCUGGAUCCUGAGUGCCUUGUCUGUCUCCCCUUGGGUGCCAUAUUGGGGAAAUCCCUUGGCCUCCUGGGGACUCUCUACAGUAGCUCCUAUAUCAGUCUUAGUCUCCUUGUUCCAAGGAGCUCUUGUGUGUAUGGGGAGAGAAUAGUAUCAGAGGGCUGAACCCAGAACCUGGCACAUAAAUGGACAUGUUAUGAAUGAGUGGAUGGAUUGUUGGGUGAUUGGAUGAAUGACUAGAUAAAUGGAUGGAUGGGUGCAUGGACAGAUGAGUAGGUGUGUGGGUAGAUGAAUGGAUGGAGGGUAAGUGGAUGAAUGGAUGGAAAGAUGGAUUAAUGUGUGGAUGGAUGGAUGGAGAAUGGGUAGAUGGAUGGAUAGAUGGGAAGAAGGGUAGGUAUAUAAAUGAAUGACGAAUGGGUGGAUGAAUGCAUAAAUGAAUGGAUAGAUGGAUGGGUAAAUGGAUGAUGGUUAGGUGGAUGGACAGAUGGGUAGAUGGAUGAAUGGGUAGAAGGAUGGAUAGAUACUGACUAGCGUUGUCACAAUUGUUCUGGGUGGUACCCAAGCUGAAUGGUUUGAUUUUAUCCUCACAUUCAUCAAUUUAUUAGUAAUAAUUCAUUAAUAAACUCAUUAACCCAUCACUGAAUUGCCAACCCCCAACCUGUAGAGACACAUCUUAGUUCCUGUUGUAAGGAUCUCUUUUCUACAAAGGUAGGCUUUGCAUCCCCAUAUCAGUAGGCAUAGGGCCAACUUGAUGUGUAGGUGCUUAAACCCUGCUCAGUGAAGAGCACACACUUGUCACCAGCCUUGCCUGCAUGAGAUUUCUGAUCCCCAGCCCAGCCUGGUCCGCUCACUGAUGCCAGGGCUUUGGUUGUUGGGUGAGUGGGUAAGCAGUGGGGUAAGGCACCCAUAACCUCAUCCACACAGUUCCCAACUUGUUCCCUCUGUCCACCGGGAGAGUGGGAUGUGGUGGAUCACCCAGUUCAUGGGGAUGAAAGUUUAGAGCUAUUUAGGUAUAGCAGAGCUUGCAGAGAGUCUUUAGGAGAAUGGCGUGACUCUGGCUAUUUUACUCUAGAACCAAAAAUUCAGUAAGAGAAAGGCUUCCUUGGUGUUGGGGUGGAGUGGCAGCCCUGUCUGGGGUCAGGAAGGCUGGGGUAUCUAAUAGAGUUCCUGUCUUGGCACUGCUACUCAUAAGGUGCGUUCUUGGGCACUCUCUCUGGGCCUGGUAUCAUUUAUUUAAAAUGUAAGAAUCCUCUGAGGGUUGGGGGCGAAUCCAGCAAGAUGAUGUGAGGGAGGACGUCAGAGUAGCUUUUUGGUGAGAUGGUGGUCAUUACCAUCAUUUCACUGUGCUUGCGGCUGAGUGACUCCAUGUGUGCAAGAUCCCCUGCUCAGCUCAGCACUGCGGGGUGUGGGGCUGGGGCAAGGGUUCUGGAGAUCAUCAGGUCAGUUCCAGAUGGUUCCACAGGGUCACCCCAGGUCAGGAGGACAGGGAAGAGAGGCAGAGAGGGCUGUCCCCUGAGCACCUCCCAUGCAGGAUGUGUCUUAGAGUCAUCACAGUGCUCUACCCCCAAUUGUCAGUCAGACAUGAGGACUGCAGAGAGGUCCUCAGUUGUUGGAGCAACACUGUGGAGAGAUCUACAAAGCACAGCACCUCAGGAAAGAAGCACCGAGUGGAAAGGGUCAUUCAUGUGAACAGGAAGCACAAACUGCACAUAAACACCACGUGCUUCCUGUGUUUGUGUGAAUACAUCAGACAAAUUCAAGUGGAUGGCUUUUGGAAGCAAGAGAAAGGAAGUGGACAAGGAGAUGGGAAGACCAGAAGAAAAAUUUAUAAGACAAAUGGGAGUUCUAACAUAGGCAAAAACUCAGGAAGAUCAAUGUCACAUUCUGCAUCUUCAAAAGUAGGAGAAGCAAACAGAGAAGGGAAAUCUCUGACUCCUUCCUGACCUGGGAAACAGUUUACAAUUAACAUUCCUGGUUUAGUCUCCACCCCCUCUUGAAAUGGAAUUUUUAUCUCUUGAUUCCUGCUACAAGAUGCGAUGCCUGUUUAUCCAGUUGCAUGAAUAAUUGGUCAGCUCUUUCCAACUUGCCAGAAGCAACCCCUGGCCGUUUCUGGAGCACUGGGAGAGACCUUCGCACAGUUUCUGCUUGGAGUCCACCGCUCUUCAUCUCAGGUCUAGACAGCUACCUGUUCUAUUUGGCUUAGCCUGUGCUGCAGAAAGUCCCAGUUCUUCCAAAUCAAGCUCCAGGAAAUUGAGAAGCAUGUUAUUAGUUUUAGCAAACAAUUUAAACAAAACUAAGACCAGAUCUCCCAGCAAUGGUGAAGGAUCUCAAGGGAGACCUUGGUCACAGUGGGCCUGGCUUCCCUACAGGCACUGCCUGCCAUAGAGGACAAGCCAUCGAAAAGUGAGGGUUUGAAGCACAGUAGGUCUCUGCAAAUAUUUAUUAAAUGAAUGCACAUGUAUUCAAACCCAGGAGAUGGAGGAGAAAGAUCAGAGGGAGGAUUUGAUAAACAGAAGGCUUCCAAGAAACAGCUUCCAACUCAAAUCAGUCCUUAAAAAUUUUUUAUUUUAUUGUACUAAGAACACUUAACAUGAGAUCUACCCUCUUAACAAAUUUUAAAGUGAAUUUCAAAUUAUUAAAUCGAAAGAUGAUUAAAAAAACAGUUGAAAAGGCACUCAAUAUUCACUCGCUACCUUGGAAACGUGUUAAUUAUCAUUAUCAUAUCAUGUGACUGCUUCGGAUUAAGCGUCUGAGCUGGGCUAAGCACGGAGCUGAGAGCUUUGCACCUAUUCGCUUGUCUGGGCCUCCCGGGAGCCUGGCGUGCAGGUUCUGCCCCCUCCCUCGUCAGAGUGGAGACAAUGGAGGCUGCAGAAGCCUUUCUCCCACUACCACCCUGCCAGGUGCUGCCUCGGCUGAGCAAUGGGACUCACACUGGGGGACUUUGUGUCCCUGCCACGCUUGCUAUCACUUGGCUUCUAAAAGCCUGGAUGACGCAGAGGCCUGUUGAGGAUACAUUCUGAAAAGGGCACCGUCUUUGUUUUCGCCCUAGUGCAGAGCGUUUUCCACCCACUGAUCUACUCCACUCGGUCUCCAGGAUGAUCCGUCAGAUACGUUAGCCAAAGGGAGGCUGCUGUGUGGGCUGUAAUCGGCCACAAUGAAGCAGUGACUUUACCUCUAGAGAGAAGCUAAUGGGCCCGGUGUGGGGGGGCACAAGCCCCUGACCUUGGUUGGAUAAGCCCCAAGCGCUAAUCAACAUUGCUGAAGAUGUCUGUGCGAGCUAACAAAGCAUAAAUAUUUGGUCUCUGUUGAAGGUCUCCAGGGCCAUGGCAAGCAGCAGCCUUCUAUAAGCACAGUCCACCUGCCUGCUAGGAAAGUGAAAACACACAGAAAAACAGUCUUUUGAAUCCAUUAUUCCCCAUAGAAACAGCCACUAUGUCCUGAUCAUUAUGUCUAAAAAAGCAGUAGAUAUGAAAAUUGGAUUUGGUUGGAGCUGGAUUUUAGCUGCAAAUGGGUGGUUUUUAAUAAAGUGCCUCAUAGCAACCGAUCUGUGAAAAGCUGCUACUUAAAAGCAAGUUCAUGUGAUCUCAGAAAAUGGCUCAUUUCAGGGCAGUCUGAAACUGUUUAUUUAUAGUCGUCUGGGCCAGAUCAGAUAAGCUAGGGCUUGGGGAGGUGUGUGGGGCUUCUCGAAAGUACCAUCCAAAGGAAACUCACAGGCUGACUGUCAGUGUGGUCAGGAGGUUGAAUUAGUGACUCACAUUUGCCGAGCUUUUAGAGGUCCAGUCGGUGUGGGUCUCAUUCCCAGCAGCUCCUGUGAGGCUCAAAUCAUGACCCCCCAUUUAUUAGAUGAGGAAACUGAGGCUCAAAGAAGGAACAAAGCCCUCCAGGGCCUCCAUAGAACCCUUAGUUCUUUUCCGAAGGCCUUAGGUUUCAAGAAACGCUA
Heterocephalus glaber (naked mole-rat) is the source of this 4625-nucleotide non-coding RNA. NCBI's taxonomy places the organism in Eukaryota, Metazoa, Chordata, Mammalia, Rodentia, Bathyergidae. The record is from RefSeq and is a predicted model, not a curated record.